CCUACGGGGGGCAGCAGUAGGGAAUCUUCCACAAUGGACGAAAGUCUGAUGGAGCAACGCCGCGUGAGUGAAGAAGGGUUUCGGCUCGUAAAGCUCUGUUGGUAGUGAAGAAAGAUAGAGGUAUUAACUGGCCUUUAUUUGACGGUAAUUACUUAGAAAGUCACGGCUAACUACGUGCCAGCAGCCGCGGUAAUACGUAGGUGGCAAGCGUUGUCCGGAUUUAUUGGGCGUAAAGCGAGUGCAGGCGGUUCAAUAAGUCUGAUGUGAAAGGCUUCGGCUCAACCGGAGAAUUGCAUCAGAAACUGUUGGACUUGAGUGCAGAAGAGGAGAGUGGAAGUCCAUGUGUAGCGGUGGAAUGCGUAGAUAUAUGGAAGAACACCAGUGGCGAAGGCGGCUCUCUGGUCUGCAACUGACGCUGAGGCUCGAAAGCAUGGGUAGCGAACAGGAUUAGAUACCCGAGUAGUC
RNAcentral lists this ribosomal RNA (465 nucleotides) under uncultured bacterium. Its description in RNAcentral is "partial 16S ribosomal RNA". It matches the Rfam family "Bacterial small subunit ribosomal RNA", at positions 338 to 795 of the family's 1533-position model. The record is from RNAcentral.